GUCGGGAAUGGAGCACUUCCUUUCAGAACUGCAGUGACCGCGCAGUUUUCACAGCAUGGCUUAGGCUGGAAAGGACCUCAGAGGUGAUCUAGUUCCAACCCCCUGCCACGGGCUGGUGCUGUCAGCAAACUUGUUCACCGUAACCUACCAGCUGCCUGAACAGCACACGCUUAGCAGAGCCUGCUGAAUUCUCAACUCACUCACCCGAACUUCUCACUGGCAUCUAUUCUUUCCAACCACGAAAUAAAAACAGUGGCUAAUGCUUAGGGCUCUGGGUUAACGGUUUUCUGAAUUCCUGCAUUGUAGAAGAGGCUCUGCAGCGUGAACAGCUUCUCACUUUCUGGACCCCCAAGCCCACCGGAUGAGUGGACAGAACAGAAAGAGCAUUCUCCUGUUGUUGAUGGAACCGGCUGCCUCUCUUUGUGCUCAGAAUGCUGACACCAUUUAGCCAUAUUUAAUUCAGCUGUGGUUAAUUCAGUGGAUUUUUUUUUCAAGCAACAUCCGCCCAGGAACAAGUUCUGUGGGCCUUCAAUGAAGUAGAACUUCCACUGAUUUCAGAGGGGCUUGCUCAGUGAAAGAAGAGUAUUUGGCCCCAGGGGCUUUAACAAGAGACCUUCCUUAUCCUUUGUGCACUGGAGAUCCCUGCCAGAUUUCUCCUGGAAAUAGAACAAGGAUAGAACAUGCAGGAUGCUAAAGAGACUAGCUUCAGUUUAUGGAUUAGCAGACUCGCUUGUCUGUUCCCAUCCACCUUACAUACAUAGCCACAUACAGUGUGAAUGUAAAAUGUGGGGGAAAAUUGGCAGUCAUUUUCCACAAUUUUUUUUUUUUGCUGUUGAUUUCUAAAUGAGCUGCAAAACAAUGAAAAAUCCCAGUGUCAAAAAAGAGCAACUUGAAAAAACCUAGGACAGAUUUUAAGUAAAUCUGCUGGAUUUUCCCGUUCCUCAUUAGUUAAAUUAGACAUUGCAAAGCCUGGUGCUGUUACCUGUAAUGUUGAUCCACCUCUGGACUUCAGAAGAACUUGAUCUAGCCAUUAGUAAAACAUGUCCUGCUUUGAAUAGAGGAACAACGCUCUGUACUGCUGGUAAGAGGGGCUUAAGGUGUGUGAGGACGAGAUGGUGAUGACGUUCAGUUAGAGGAAUGAAGCAGCCCUUGUAGGAACAGCCUGGCAGCGAAGGAGAAGGGAGAUCUGGACUUGGGCAAGUAGAGGGUGCAGACCAUCUCCCUGUGCUUGGCUGCAGAAAAGCAAGUGUAGCAGACUGCUGAGUGGGCCAAAUACUAGAUGUUUGUUUUCAUUCUGGAUUUUUUUUUCUGCUAUUAGGAGUAGAAGUGGACCGCUUUAACUCAAGGGAUGAUAGCUGAUUUGUGUUAGACAAGGAUCAAAUAGAUAGAUUGGGAAGAAUUUUACUAACUUUUAAUGUAGUUGCUCUGAAAGCACUGGUGAAUCUGGCACAGAACGUAAGUAGUCCAGCCGAGGCUUUGGUCUCAGCCUUUCCGAGCUAAAAUGUCAGACUUUCAGUUCUGGCCUCUGUGUAUCUAGGCUACACCCAAACAGCUCGAUGCCCCUGCAGUUAAUCCUGAGGAAAAGCUAUACAUGCAAAGAAAACAGAGCCUUUAAAACCUAAGUCCCCUCAGAGGUCUGCAGGGUUUUUAUUGAAUCCUACUACUAGUGACUUUAUUUCAGGAGCGUCCAACCAACGCUGCUCUGCAGGCUGCAUGCUGAAAGCUCUGUGUGGCUGAAAGCUACAAGGCACACAUCACACAGCCCAGAUUCCCGAGAAAAGGAGAUGUCCGGAGCGGCUCCCAGGUGGCUCACAAUGAUGGUUCUCUCCGGCAAGCUGUCUGCUGUGGCAGAAGAUCCUCAUUAGCCGAUGUCUGCCCAGCCUUUCUGCCAGUCCAGGGACACAGUGCUGGCCUAGAUACCUCUCUUGAACUGUCAGAAAGCCACGCAUGACAAAAGAGGCCAGCCCCUGCUCCCUCCCCUCCUUGCUAUUAAAAUAUCACAAGAAGUUUGAGAGAGAUCUUUUCUCGUAAUUUUCUUUUUUAUCCGCUCUGAUUCUUUGGGAUACGGUCUCCAAAUGUUGCUUGCAGAACAUAGGUUUAUGAUAAAGAAUUUCUUGAAAGCUAGUAGGAGUCACAUCCGUACACGAUCAAAUGUAAAUACGUGAGUGUAGUAGUCUUUGCUUAAGAAAGCUUUCAUAAUUCAGAAGAUAACUCAUAAAAAACCAGCGCUUUCUGAAUUACAAGGAGAGAAAGAGGGCAAAGGAAUUGGAUGGCAAAAGGACCACAGGGCCAGGUGUCUUCCUGUGUGCUGUUGCCAGGACUGGCCUGUGACUGGAUUCGAAGAGAUAUUUGAAUGGAAAGCAAAAAAAUUGCAUUCGACUACUGAAGGAUGUCGUUAAAGUGAAAUUUUUAACAAUCUUUUUAAUUAAGCUAAUGCUUUCUUCUAGUGUCAGGAACCUUGUCAAAAUCUAGCUGUCUGUGCUCUGUGCUGGCUCCAGUAUGGCACAGCUGUAACCUUGGACAAGGCUGCUGCGAGAAGAGCUAAGCAAAAGUGUUGGGGGCUUCCUCCACUUUGCUCAAGAGCUGCUUUUAAACUCGGAUGCUUGCCCUGGCCCCUUGGGAUCUGCAGGUCUCUCCCCUGCCUGCUUUGCUCUCCCUCAGCUCCUGGCUCAUCUCCUGGGAGGAGAAGCCCACUGCUGCUACUCCUUGGCACUUCAAACUUUUGGUGCCAGGAAUCCUUACCUGUGGUAACAGGUCUCUUUUGCUACAGCCUGCUGCAGUAGAAGAACUAUGUACUAAUAAGUUCCUAUGAAAAUGCCUUGCUGAAUCAGAAGAGCAGCUCAUCUGUACCCCACAUCUGCAGCAGGGAGAGCAGGAGGCCCUUCCGUCGAAGACUGAAAAGCACAAGCCUGCCUCCAUUCAAGUCUACAGGACACAGACUCCUAGAAGGUGUCCCCAAGCAGACAGUUUAAGAGGGUAAGAGUCUACCCUUCUAAACUGAAGGAUGCUGUGAUCGUGUCUAGAAAUAAAGACGUAGCCAGAGGAGAAAAGAAAGCGUGUAAAAAUGUAGAAAGUAAGAUAAGGACGUCAGGGUUCAUGAAGGGGAUACAGGAGAAAAAACACUGUCAUAUUUUCUGCCCUUCUAUCUUUAUUUCUGCUCUCUUAUCACUCCUAGUUUUGCACAUUCUUUUUUUCUUGCCCCUUCUAUAUCUUUCUCCUCUCUGGCUCUUUCCCUGGCAGGAUAUGAUACAAUAUAGCUUAAAAUCUUGGCACUCUUUUGAACUGCCAAGUUUAAAAUUCUGAAGGCUUUGAGUAGUAAUAGCUGAAAUAUUUCAUAUUAGUGAAAGGUUAAAGCUAGGCCAGCAUUUCCUGAGUAGAGUUUGAGAGAAAAAUUAAAAAUGCUCUGAUUUGCUUGCUGCUUAGUCCACGAACUUCAACAAACAUGCAGAGUCAGUCUUUGCUGCUUCCCUCGGAAGAGAGGUGCAGAAAGAAGGCAGUGAGAGGAGCUUGAAGGGGCUGUUUGUAGCGCUCAAUUUAUUGGGCAGGGAGAUUUGGGAGACAUUUCUGUACUUGGGCAUAGAAUGCUGUUUUCUUGAUCUCAGACAAGGUCGUUUUUGUUCUUUGGGGUGGUAUGUUUUGAGUUGUGGUGGUUACCUAGUGAAUGCUGAACAAACGAAGCACUGUUGCAUUCUUUUUCCUUCUUUUUUACUCGUCUGAGUGUACCUUAUAGGUUCUGAAAAGUCAGUGAAAUCAUCUAUAUAUGAAUUCUUUCAUGAGUCAGAAAAAAUAACAAAGAUGAUGUCAUUUUUUUUUUCAGAGCCGACAGUUUAUCUACAGUGUCGUACAGAACAGGACUUUUUCUCCUCUUCUGGGGAAUUUGGGAACUACCUUCUCCUUUUAGGACAGUUCUCCAUCGUUUCAUGUCAGAGAAUAAUCAUACUGCUCUCCUAAUCACCAGAUUGUGUCAGCCCAAUUUAGCAGAAAUUUAGAUGUGGGUUUUUCUGUGUUUUUCCUUCCUUAUUUAUCCAGAUAUGUCUUGAAGUCAGUUCAUUUUCUUAUUAUUCCCAUGUCAAUCAGCAAGUCACAAAUCAAUAUCUGACCACAUAAUUUUUUUUGGUGUAGGCAAUGAGGCGUGCUUAAGGGGUUACAGGAAAAGAAUGACAGAAAAGGGCACUUUUUAAAGUGAAGUUAACGCUCUGGAACUGGACAGAUUGACAUCAAUCAAUAAAGCACAAGGAGCUGCUCAACGGCUGUUGCUUAAGCCUCUUCCAGAAUGACCAUUUCCAAGGGAAGGUCAUUCAAUUUUUGUGCCAUUGGAUGUCUCAAUCCUGCCUUAUGGUACAUGCAAACAUUUUCCUAUGCAACUUCUCCAGUUCUCAAAUUAACUGUUAACAAAAUGGCUAUCGGAUUACUUUGGUAUUUAUUACCUCUGCGCUUCCCAGUCACUAGAAUCUUGGAAAUGAUCCUUUCUAUACUACCAUCCAAGUCAUUACUGUGAAUAAUUAGAAAGCUGGGCUAUACCCUACUGGUAACCUCUUUCCACCUUGAAAUAAUCCCAUUUACUUCCACUGUUUGUUUCUUGCCCUUCAGCCAAUUUUCAGUCUGUGUAGCCUGCCAGUUUUCUUCCUAUUGUGUGAGUCUGCACCUUAGGCGCUAGUCUCCCAUAUGGAAAUGUUUUCAGCACAUAAGAGCUGAACUUCUUGCAUCCAGUCUCCCUCUAAUCAUUCUGUGCUAUGCUAUCACACUUAGAUAACUCAAUAUCCCUUCCCCAUCCCCUCUUGGAAACACUUCCUAAACCAUGUCGGGGGGCUGAAGUUGCCUCUCCAUCUUCACCUUCCUGUUCUUGCUUGUGAACCACAUCCCUGAGCAAAGUCUAAGCCCUUUCUGUAAUUAUCCGUGGGCAGAACACCCUCCAGGUAGCUGGCGAGCUGUGAGGAUGCCGUGGGUAGAGGAUGAGGUGUCUGCUCUCCAUCUCUGUGUAAAUCUCCGCAGGGGCCCUGGUGUUGCACCAUCAGUAUUUUUUGUGGGAUAAAUGGGGGGGAAUUUUGAUUGUACAGGAAAUUUAAUUAGAUUUAAGGCUAAUUAAAUUCAUUUUUUUCAUAUUAACAUGUUCACAAAUAUUAUUGCAUCUCGUUAGAUUUCAUUCUUCUAUCCUUACCGAACAAUAUUCAGUGGUAGUUUCAGAUUACAAUAAGUUCAUUAUGAAGAUAAGGUGGAAUUAGUGUAGGAAGCUCAGCUGGUUGAAGGGGUCUGUGCUUUAAUUACUGCAGAGGGUGUGCAUAUUAAUUACAACACAAGUGAUAUUUACUGUACCUCAGGAACAUAUGACAGGGUAAAGAUACUGACAGCACCAGCUAAUAAACUCAGUAUGAUAAUGAGGAGAAAAGACCAUAAAAAUAGAAGGAAAUAAAAUUAUUCAUAAAGUAUAUUGAUCCCAAAGUAAAGACAUUAAGCUCUGAUGAAGGGCAACAAAAGGGAAGCUCCUCACUUUAUCAAACAAAUAACCAAAGUAGAGAAAUGUUAGCAGAGAGACAGAUUGUCAUUAUACUGGUCACAUGACCAUGCUCUGGAGAGAACAUUUGAGCAGUAAAAUAUAAGAUUUUUUUUUUAAUAAAUCAGCAGAAAGGCAAGUCUUUACCUGCAGGAUACCAGGUCACGAUGGUUCUGAUGAGCUGAGGGCUGGAAACGUUGCAAAACAACAUUUGAAGAAGAGUGACGGGAACAGAUCAUUCUUUGCAUGAGGAGGCAUCCUCAGCUACACAAAGAAACAACAUGGCUAAUUGGUUAGGGCUGCUAUAAUUGCUGGUGGUUUGUUUGUUGGUGGGGUUGUUUUUGUUUUUUUCCCCCAAUACUAAUUUUGAAGCAGUUGUCUAAAAUAAUUUUUGAGCCACUUUACACACAACUUCCCAUUCAACAGGCCCUUAAGCGUAUACCAAAUAUAAAACACAGUGGAAAGAUCUUUGCUAUGUCUCUCAGCUUCCCCAGGAGGGACGGUCCAGCUGCCCUGGCUGGUCAAACUAGGAGAUCUGCCAGAACUCCGUAUUUCCCUGCUGGCUCUUGUGUCUGAGUUCACUAUUGUCAGCAGCACACAGGUACAGGCAUCAGGAGCAGCUUGCUGGGAUGUCACACCAUCAGUGUGGGUAGCACAGACCCAGUCUUGUGUUGCUCAGCUUCCUUGGGCCCGGUGCUGGUUGCACACUUGCCUAGGCCUUGUGUCAGGACGAUUGCGUUCUUCUGUCUCCUCUACAUUAUCAACUAAGACUGUGCAAGUGAGUUAAAAAAUGCAGUGUAAAUAAUCUCUUUCCAGACAUUACCUUCCUGUUUGAAUUCCCACAGCUUAAUGUGUCCGUAUUAAAUAACAUCUGACCUAAGGCCCUAGCCACCAAAACAGAGUAAGAACUUCACUGUUUGCAUUUAAUUAUCGUACAUUCUGUCAGAAUCAUUUUGAAAUGGCUAUUUCAAAAGAUUUUUGCCUAAAUGAAAUCAACAGGAGCAGUUCAGUACGUAGUGCCGGCCAGACUAGUUUGGGGUCUGUGAAUAGGACAGGGACUGUGCAGUGCACGGAAGUUUUAGUGGGCAUAAUUCUUUUUGCUAUAGACAUUGUGCUACAGUGUGGUUUCCUCUAAGGAAUUGUUAUAAGUUAGGUGACAGUGAGGUGAAGCUAGCAAGCAAGUCAGCCUGCUAGCCAUUCAUCUCUAAAGACCUACGUUCAAAUCCCAUUUACUGAAAGCCACAUACGUCUGCUGCUUUGUUGUCAUCAUAGCCUUGGCAGACAUUUGUUACCAAUCACAAAGCUCCUUCAUGUUGGGCAUGUAUGUCAAUCUUUGCUUAAUAAAGACACCUGGAUUAAAACAGCCACUCUUGGUCAGGAUCUCUGUACUCCGGUGAAGCCUGAAGUGGAUACCUGUUUCAUUCAGAUGGAUCUUUUCACUUCUUGGAGCUCAGGUUGUUUUUUUUUUUUUUUCUUCCAUCCUACAAUUAAGAAUUCACAUUUCUUUUCCCUCAUUCUUCUUGACAGGUCAAGGAAAAAAAAUCUAUUGUCCCUGGUGUUACGAUAGUGUCCCUAAUUUAAAUGCUUGUUUCCAUCUCAUGUUGAAGUAAGGUCUACUGGCUACUGCCGAAGAUCCUAAAUGUUCUGCUCUGUCUGUGCUCGUUCUGUACUAUUUCAGCUUCCCAUGCGUCUGUCUCUCCGAGUGGUGCAAUGUAAGGGUGGAAAUGAUAACUUUUUUUAACUCCUUUUUUUUAAGGUCAGACACAGGUUGUGCGCAUCGGGCAAACUUAACUGCACCUUCAAUAUUUGAGUCACUUGAAUCUAUGAAACAGAUUGAAAGAACUGCAAGAACAGUUGGUAUCUUGACAUUUCAGGUACUUUUAUCCAAAUCCAGGAAGCACAAGAAUACGCAAUAUUGAAAAAUUAUAAUAAAAGUAUAUGACCAUUUUCAAAGCUACAGAAAGCUCUGUUAUAUAAUUUGCUUUUGGAUAAAUGUUUGGCUCGGUCUUUUUUUUGUUGUUGUUGUUUAGGGGAAUCUGUGUAUCCCUACUUGUAAUUCAGUGAGCAAAAGAGUAAUGUCUUCCCAGUGGCCGCUGUGAAAUAUGUCGGCGUUCUUGGUUCCGCUCCCAAUUUUUGUAGCAGUAAAAUUCCUGCCUCUGUGGGCUCAUGUGCUUCCCUGCUUGACAGAGGGAUUUGAGGUUUCAUCUACUCUCUCACCCUCAGAGAUGGUCCUUCCAAGAUUAGGACUGAAGCAGAUUUGAGGACACUGGGGAAGCAUAUGUUUUUUCUGUGCAUGCUUCACAUCUCGCGUUUCCUUGAAUUUCAGAAUUUCUGGGCUCUGAUUCAGUGCCUUUCAGUAACUCAUUUAUCAACAGAUUUUUAAAAGAGGAAAAAAACCACAGUAAAGUUAACCUCUCUCCUAGUGGCUUCUGCAGUUGCUACUUGCGAGGAACAACAAGGAACGGCAAACGCCCAGUGAUGUCUUGAUGUUUCUGAUGAUGUAAACAAGAACUGCUGACCUAAAUGCUAAUGCUUAAGGACUGAUUAUUCGAAAAUGUUAAUUAAAGAUAGAAUUUGAGACCUCC
Molecule: long non-coding RNA, 8076 nt
Organism: Numida meleagris (helmeted guineafowl)
Lineage: Eukaryota; Metazoa; Chordata; Aves; Galliformes; Numididae
Exons: 5
Source: RefSeq, a predicted model, not a curated record